AGUCGAACGAAGUAGCAAUACUUAGUGGCAGACGGGUGAGUAACAUGUAGGUAUCUGCCCUUUGGCCUGGAAUAACACGAGGAAACUUGUGCUAAUACCGGAUAAGUCUUUACGGAGAAAGCUUUAUGCACCAUAGGAUGAGCCUGCACUUGAUUAGUUUGUUGGUGGGGUAAUGGCCUACCAAGACUGUGAUCAAUGGCUGAUUUGAGAGGAUGAUCAGCCACAUUGGGACUGAGACACGGCCCAAACUCCUACGGGAGGCAGCAGUGGGGAAUCUUGCACAAUGGAGGAAACUCUGAUGCAGCGAUGCCGCGUGAGUGAAGAAGGCCCUUGGGUUGUAAAGCUCUUUCGUCGGGGAAGAAAAUGACUGUACCCGAAUAAGAAGGUCCGGCUAACUUCGUGCCAGCAGCCGCGGUAAUACGAAGGGACCUAGCGUAGUUCGGAAUUACUGGGCUUAAAGAGUUCGUAGGUGGUUGAAAAAGUUAGUGGUGAAAUCCCAGAGCUUAACUCUGGAACUGCCAUUAAAACUUUUCAGCUAGAGUAUGAUAGAGGAAAGCAGAAUUUCUAGUGUAGAGGUGAAAUUCGUAGAUAUUAGAAAGAAUACCAAUUGCGAAGGCAGCUUUCUGGAUCAUUACUGACACUGAAGAACGAAAGCAUGGGUAGCGAAGAGGAUUAGAUACCCUCGUAGUCCAUGCCGUAAACGAUGUGUGAUAGACGUUGGAAAUUUAUUUUCAGUGUCGCAGGGAAACCGAUAAACACACCGCCUGGGGAGUACGACCGCAAGGUUAAACUCAAAUGAAUUGACGGGA
Molecule: ribosomal RNA, 809 nt
Filed under: uncultured marine bacterium
Lineage: Bacteria
Description: bacterial SSU rRNA
Rfam family: Bacterial small subunit ribosomal RNA
Source: RNAcentral